Molecule: ribosomal RNA, 95 nt
Filed under: Diaphorina citri (Asian citrus psyllid)
Lineage: Eukaryota; Metazoa; Arthropoda; Insecta; Hemiptera; Psyllidae
Source: RNAcentral
UCCGAUAGCAUAGCACAUUGAAUACAUCAGUUCCCAAUAGAUCACUGAUGUUAAGCACUGUUGCGUCUGGUUGCUAUCCAGAUUGGUAAUUGGAA